AUUUAUUAGAUAAAAAGCCAGUUCAUGCUUUUAUAGUAUGAAAAUUGGUGAUUUAUAAUAACUUAGCAAAUCGCAAAGUGAAAACAGGCGAUAAAUCAUUCAAGUUUCUGACCUAUCAGCUUUCGACGGUAUGGUAUUGGCUUACCGUGGCAGUGACGGUUAACGGGGGAUUAGGGUUCGAUUCCGGAGAGGGAGCCUGAGAAACGGCUACCACAUCUAAGGAAGGCAGCAGGCGCGCAAAUUACCCAAUUCUAACAGUUUGAGAGAGGUAGUAACAAGAAAUAACAAUACAAGGCAGUUAAAAUGCUUUGUAAUUGGAAUGAUAGAAAUUUAAACCCUUUUUAAAGUAUCAAUUGGAGGGCAAGUCUGGUGCCAGCAGCCGCGGUAAUUCCAGCUCCAAUAGCGUAUAUUAAAAUUGUUGCAGUUAAAAAGCUCGUAGUUGAAGUUCUGCUGAAAGUAACCGGUCUGCUUUUAAUAAAAGUGGUAUCUUGGUAUGUAUUUAGCAAUGAUGUCCUUUGAAGUGUUUUUUACUUUAUUGUAAUAAAGCAUAUUCAGGACUUUUACUUUGAGAAAAUUAGAGUGUUUCUAGCAGGCUAACGCUUUGAAUACUGCAGCAUGGAAU
Molecule: ribosomal RNA, 622 nt
Filed under: Hepatozoon canis
Lineage: Eukaryota; Apicomplexa; Hepatozoidae
Description: bacterial SSU rRNA
Rfam family: Eukaryotic small subunit ribosomal RNA
Source: RNAcentral